RNAcentral lists this ribosomal RNA (459 nucleotides) under uncultured bacterium. RNAcentral's name for it is "partial 16S ribosomal RNA". It matches the Rfam family "Bacterial small subunit ribosomal RNA", at positions 338 to 795 of the family's 1533-position model. The record is from RNAcentral.
CCUACGGGAGGCAGCAGUGAGGAAUAUUGGUCAAUGGCCGGAAGGCUGAACCAGCCAAGCCGCGUGAAGGACGAAGGUGCCAAGCAUUUUAAACUUCUUUUGUCAAGGGACAAAAUCAGGCUCGAGAGCCUGACCGAGUGUACUUGAAGAAAAAGCAUCGGCUAACUCCGUGCCAGCAGCCGCGGUAAUACGGAGGAUGCGAGCGUUAUCCGGAUUUAUUGGGUUUAAAGGGUGCGUAGGCGGACUGUUAAGUCAGCGGUAAAAGCCCGGGGCUCAACCCCGGCGAGCCGUUGAGACUGGCUGUCUUGAGAUGUCGAGAGGUAUGCGGAAUGCGCAGUGUAGCGGUGAAAUGCUUAGAUAUUGCGCAGAACUCCGAUUGCGAAGGCAGCAUACCGGCGGCGAUCUGACGCUGAGGCACGAAAGCGUGGGUAUCGAACAGGAUUAGAUACCCCAGUAGUC